AUGGAUAAACUAACAUAUUUAGCUGCUGAGCAUGAUGGUUUGGGUUUGCAACACAUGAUUGAAAUGAAGAAGACAAAAGGUACAGAACUGACUCUCUUCCAAGGAGCACAACAUGGACACAUGAGCGAUGAUGAAGGUAGCGCCGUCAAAUAUUUCAUUGGAUUAUCAGCUCCAGAACAAAAACACAAGGCCGGUCGACCAACAAACAUCAGAGACAAGCCUCCAUAUGAUGACCGAUCUGCAAAGAGCAAAAAAAAAAUAAGGUCACAUCAUAAGUUGAUACAGGUAUUGGAUGCAGUACAAGCAAACGAACACGGUUCUACACUAUAUGCCGUGGCCCUGGUCACAAGAGCACAACGUGUCCCCUAA
This 369-nucleotide ribosomal RNA is filed under the name Triticum aestivum (bread wheat). RNAcentral's name for it is "partial small subunit ribosomal RNA". Lineage: Eukaryota; Viridiplantae; Streptophyta; Magnoliopsida; Poales; Poaceae. The record is from RNAcentral.